This 231-nucleotide long non-coding RNA is filed under the name Callithrix jacchus (white-tufted-ear marmoset). Its description in RNAcentral is "lncRNA (ENSCJAG00000083481.1)". The record is from RNAcentral. Lineage: Eukaryota; Metazoa; Chordata; Mammalia; Primates; Cebidae.
GGGACUCAAGAUGGCGCUGUGAGAACAACCCAGGAUUGGAGCCCGCGUUGAAUUCGCAAACGAUUCUCAAAGGUUCCUGUGGAGCCACACCACCUCCUGUAUUGGCACUUCAUUAGGCCAAGGCUGCUUUCUGAAAGGAUCUGGCUGGUAGACCGUGACCUUGAUCCCUGCCUCUAAGCCUAGCUUUAUUCUCAUCAGCCACCACCUUUUUGGCGCUAGAACAGUGCUUUU